CGGAUGAUGAAGAAGCUUGCUUCUUCUGAUUUUAGCGGCGGACGGGUGAGUAACACGUGGGCAACCUACCUUGUAGAUUGGGAUAACUCCGGGAAACCGGGGCUAAUACCGAAUAAACCAUUUUGCUUCAUGGCAAGAUGUUGAAAGGCGGCUUCGGCUGUCACUACUAGAUGGGCCCGCGGCGUAUUAGCUAGUUGGUAGGGUAAUGGCCUACCAAGGCGACGAUACGUAGCCGACCUGAGAGGGUGAUCGGCCACACUGGGACUGAGACACGGCCCAGACUCCUACGGGAGGCAGCAGUAGGGAAUCUUCCACAAUGGACGAAAGUCUGAUGGAGCAACGCCGCGUGAGUGAAGAAGGUUUUCGGAUCGUAAAACUCUGUUGUAAGGGAAGAACACGUACGAGAGUAACUGCUCGUACCUUGACGGUACCUUAUUAGAAAGCCACGGCUAACUACGUGCCAGCAGCCGCGGUAAUACGUAGGUGGCAAGCGUUGUCCGGAAUUAUUGGGCGUAAAGCGCGCGCAGGCGGUUCUUUAAGUCUGAUGUGAAAGCCCACGGCUCAACCGUGGAGGGUCAUUGGAAACUGGAGAACUUGAGUACAGAAGAGGAAAGCGGAAUUCCACGUGUAGCGGUGAAAUGCGUAGAGAUGUGGAGGAACACCAGUGGCGAAGGCGGCUUUCUGGUCUGUAACUGACGCUGAGGCGCGAAAGCGUGGGGAGCAAACAGGAUUAGAUACCC
Molecule: ribosomal RNA, 740 nt
Filed under: bacterium YN10B-7
Lineage: Bacteria
Description: bacterial SSU rRNA
Rfam family: Bacterial small subunit ribosomal RNA
Source: RNAcentral